UAAGGCCGAAAAAAAACUGCAGAUGACUGCCCUAUGAAGAUCUUGCCUUCAAUUUGUAGCAACUUCCUCGCAGACGGCAACAGAGGCUCCCAAAAAACUGACAUCCAAAAAGGGCAAAGAAGUGUCAGCCUAAUCCGCCGAUAACCUAAUUCGAAAAAUUGCACGCCCAAAGUAAGUGUUAGACUAAAAAGGAAAGAGAGAAUGCAGCUGUACUUGGACUUAUGAAGCUACUCGGAACGCUUCUUAAGAGAGGGGGACCAUGUUGAGUCAAAUUGGCCGGAAUACUCAAAACGCAGUAGAUAGAACAAUGAAGCCUGAUAUGUUGAGUUGAGUGGGCCGUUAACAAUGGGGGAUCUGCUAAUUUGGCAAGCUUUUGCGAAGAUUUGGUGCACCAAUGGAGAAUCUCGUGUCAAGUUUACUAGGCGGAUGGAGUUGUUCGACGAUUUGGAAUCGUGGAGAGGUUAUGCUUCGGCAAGAACAUCAAAAUCAAAAGGGGAAAGUCUGGUGG
Molecule: long non-coding RNA, 508 nt
Filed under: Coffea arabica (coffee)
Lineage: Eukaryota; Viridiplantae; Streptophyta; Magnoliopsida; Gentianales; Rubiaceae
Description: long non-coding RNA (CARA_LNC001705)
Source: RNAcentral